RNAcentral lists this ribosomal RNA (775 nucleotides) under uncultured Neocallimastigales. RNAcentral describes it as "partial large subunit ribosomal RNA". It matches the Rfam family "Eukaryotic large subunit ribosomal RNA", at positions 22 to 621 of the family's 3401-position model. The record is from RNAcentral. Lineage: Eukaryota; Fungi; Neocallimastigomycota; Neocallimastigomycetes; Neocallimastigales.
UAUCAGUCAUGCAUAGCAUAUCAAUAAGCGGAGGAAAAGAAACUAACAAGGAUUCCCUUAGUAACGGCGAGUGAAGCGGGAAGAGCUCAAAUUUGAAAUCUUCAAGGUUUUACCUUGACGAAUUGUAAUUUAAAGAAGUGUUUUUCUGUUGAAGUUUUGGUAUAAGUUCUUUGGAAUAGGACAUCAUAGAGGGUGAGAAUCCCGUAUUUGACCAUUACUUUCAGCUUUGUGAUACACUUUCAAAGAGUCGGAUUGUUUGGGAAUGCAGUCCAAAAUGGGUGGUAAAUUUCAUCUAAAGCUAAAUAUUGGCGAGAGACCGAUAGCGAACAAGUACCGUGAGGGAAAGAUGAAAAGAACUUUGAAAAGAGAGUUAAACAGUACGUGAAAUUGUCAAAAGGGAAGCGUUUGACACCAGUGUUGUUUUCUCGAAAAUCAAUUAAAAAGAGUUGGACUUUGUGUUGUAGUUGACUUUAUCAGCUUUCUUCACUCUUUUCCAGCUUUUUUUAAUGCACUUUUCGUUUAACAAGUCAACAUCAGUUUCUUUUGUUGUAAAAAGGUCAUUGGAAGGUGGCUUUCUCUUCGGAGAAAGUGUUUAUAGCCUUUGACUCAUGCAAUCGGAGAGACUGAGGUCUGCAGCGUAGAUCCUUCGGGGUUAGAUACAUUUGUGCUAAGUUAUAGCUUUUCAUAGACAACUUGUUGACUAUGUUUAGUCUUGUAGCUUACUCGCUUAUGCUAUUUUACCUACGCUUAGGAUGUUGAACUCUAUCACACACAG